Molecule: ribosomal RNA, 253 nt
Filed under: uncultured bacterium
Lineage: Bacteria
Description: partial 16S ribosomal RNA
Rfam family: Bacterial small subunit ribosomal RNA
Source: RNAcentral
UACGUAGGGUGCGAGCGUUGUCCGGAAUUACUGGGCGUAAAGAGCUCGUAGGUGGUUUGUCGCGUUGUUCGUGAAAUCUCACGGCUUAACUGUGAGCGUGCGGGCGAUACGGGCAGACUUGAGUACUGCAGGGGAGACUGGAAUUCCUGGUGUAGCGGUGGAAUGCGCAGAUAUCAGGAAGAACACCCGUGGCGAAGGCGGCUCUCUGGGACGGUACUGACGCUGAGACGCGAAAGCGUGGGGAGCGAACAGG